RNAcentral lists this ribosomal RNA (363 nucleotides) under uncultured marine eukaryote. RNAcentral's name for it is "SSU rRNA". It matches the Rfam family "Eukaryotic small subunit ribosomal RNA", at positions 650 to 1012 of the family's 1831-position model. The record is from RNAcentral.
AGUAGAGGGCGGUAUGCUUCGUAGCAUUACUGCCCUAUUACUUGUAGUUUUGCCAGAGGUUCCUGGGUGCUCUUAAUCGAGUGUCUAGGGAUGCUGGCAGGUUUACUUUGAAAAAAUUAGAGUGCUCAAAGCAGGCUAUUACGCUUGAAUAUUCGUGCAUGGAAUAAUAGAAUAGGAAGUUGUUUCUAUUUUGUUGGUUUUCGGAAAUCGACUUAAUGAUUAAUAGGGACAGUCGGGGGCAUUUGUAUUCAAACGACAGAGGUGAAAUUCUUGGACCGUUUGAAGACAAACUACUGCGAAAGCAUUUGCCAAGAAUGUUUUCAUUAAUCAAGAACGAAAGUUAGAGGUUCGAAGGCGAUUAGA